This 253-nucleotide ribosomal RNA is filed under the name uncultured bacterium. RNAcentral's name for it is "partial 16S ribosomal RNA". It matches the Rfam family "Bacterial small subunit ribosomal RNA", at positions 524 to 776 of the family's 1533-position model. The record is from RNAcentral.
UACGUAGGGUGCGAGCGUUAAUCGGAAUUACUGGGCGUAAAGCGUGCGCAGGCGGUUUUGUAAGACAGGCGUGAAAUUCCCGAGCUCAACUUGGGAAUGGCGCUUGUGACUGCAAGGCUAGAGUAUGUCAGAGGGGGGUAGAAUUCCACGUGUAGCAGUGAAAUGCGUAGAGAUGUGGAGGAAUACCGAUGGCGAAGGCAGCCCCCUGGGACGUCACUGACGCUCAUGCACGAAAGCGUGGGGAGCAAACAGG